GACGAACGCUGGCGGCGUGCUUAACACACGCAAGUCGAACGGUGAAGGGACCGGUUUUUGCUGGUUCUGGAUGAGUGGCGCACGGGUGAGUAACACGUGAGUAACCUGCCCCCUUCUUCUGGAUAACCGCAUGAAAGUGUGGCUAAUACGGGAUAUUCUGCGCCUGCUGCAUGGUGGGUGUGGGAAAGAUAUUGUUUCGGUGGGGGAUGGGCUCGCGGCCUAUCAGCUUGUUGGUGGGGUGAUGGCCUACCAAGGCGGUGACGGGUAGCCGGCCUGAGAGGGUGGACGGUCACACUGGGACUGAGACACGGCCCAGACUCCUACGGGAGGCAGCAGUGGGGAAUAUUGCACAAUGGGCGCAAGCCUGAUGCAGCGACGCCGCGUGAGGGAUGGAGGCCUUCGGGUUGUAAACCUCUUUCGCCAGUGAAGCAGGCCUGUCCCUUUUGUGGGUGGGUUGACGGUAGCUGGAGAAGAAGCGCCGGCUAACUACGUG
RNAcentral lists this ribosomal RNA (493 nucleotides) under uncultured bacterium. RNAcentral describes it as "partial 16S ribosomal RNA". It matches the Rfam family "Bacterial small subunit ribosomal RNA", at positions 28 to 507 of the family's 1533-position model. The record is from RNAcentral.